This 1397-nucleotide long non-coding RNA is filed under the name Calidris pygmaea (Spoon-billed sandpiper). RNAcentral describes it as "lncRNA (ENSCPGG00000013442.1)". Lineage: Eukaryota; Metazoa; Chordata; Aves; Charadriiformes; Scolopacidae. The record is from RNAcentral.
AAGAUCAGAAUCAGUUCCUAUGGCCAGUGAGUAACAGCAGUGCUCUUAUUUUGGCAGGCCAGCAUCAUUCCAGCAACCAGCACAGGGGAAAAACACGCACACACGCCGCCCUCUCUGCCCGUGGCAGCCAGAGCACCUUUCAGAUAUCCUACCUCACCUGCUGACACAAUCCAUCAGCACUCACCGAAAUCAAAUGCAGCUAAUUGGAAGGUGAUGACAGCCAGGGGACUGCUGGAUUUGCAUGCUAAUUCCUCCAUUUUAGCAUCACACAGCCAAACUACAGGGCUGAAGCAGUGGCCUGUCUGGGUGGCUGUCGUGACUUCCCAAACCCUAGAAGACCCCAGCUGUGAGAAAUAAACUGAAUGUCAGUGUUUGCAGCAAGAAAAAGGUGAGGGCUCCAAUCCCUUGAGGCUGAAAAUUUCCCUUUCAAGGGAGAAGGCAAUCCUCUCCUUGCCCCCGUGACAAUUUUCCUGGUUUUUGUUUGGCUUUGUUUUUAAAUCAGGUUGAAUACCCUCCUGAGAAGAGCACAAUUCCUGUAACGAAGGAGGAUGAGCGCUGACACCCACACCCCAGCUCUGCAGCAGCAGAUGUUGGGUUUCAUCAUGGCCCAGUCUGACAGGCAGCUGAGAGCAACCUGCAAAAAAACCCCAAACCAAAACACAGCAAAAACCAAAGAUCCCCAAAUCCAGGGGCUCAACCAUCCAUACAUCCAGAUUUCAGAGUGAUUGGUCCUCCUUCUACUUCACUUGUGCCCUGAGAUCAUCUCAACGCUGGGCAUAGACUAGGAUGAUCUAAAUGAGGAGAAGGAAGUAGGAUUACCAGGAAAGAAGGUUACUUGCUGCUUUAAGAGGACACGUGAGAGGACAUCCAAACCCCCCAAGGCUGUUUCCGGGGGGCUGGUGCAGGAUGGGAUGGCCAUGCCAGUUGUGUCACUGCUGUGCAUGCUGCUGGAGCGGGAUACUGCAUGACAAAAGGCGGUGGCACCUGUGCAGCCUUUUCUGCACUGGGGUGACAGAAGACAGAUGUCAAGCAGGGUGAAUUGCGUUUCGGGUGCUUAGUUCACCUGGAUUCACUCCAGAACCAGAAUGAGAAAUUAGAGCCAGAUACCAUCCUUUGCCUGUUUUCAUGUCCCUAACCUCUAGCAAAGGCCAGCUACAGAAGGCGAGGGAGGCCAGCACUGGUGUGCUCAGUCUAGUCCUCAACCUGAUAUAGCAACGGAAGGUGGCCCAGGCAUUUAACCCUCCUACCUCUGGCCAGUGGUGCAUCUCCUGAGGGCCCAGAAGGAUGAAAAUAUGGCUUGGAUUGUCUUUCCAAUCUAAUUAUCAGCCCGCUUUUCUCAGACCCUUCUUGCCUGCCACUGCUUUUUCAUUGCAGUUCUGCGUGAACUUCUUGGGUGC